Molecule: ribosomal RNA, 501 nt
Filed under: uncultured Glomus
Lineage: Eukaryota; Fungi; Glomeromycota; Glomeromycetes; Glomerales; Glomeraceae
Description: SSU rRNA
Rfam family: Eukaryotic small subunit ribosomal RNA
Source: RNAcentral
AGCAGCCGCGGUAAUUCCAGCUCCAAUAGCGUAUAUUAAAGUUGCUGCAGUUAAAAAGCUCGUAGUUGAAUUUCGGGACCAUCAUGUCGGUCGUGCCUCGGUACGUACUGGCAUUGUUGGUUUCUCCCUUCUGACGAACCAUGAUGUCAUUAAUUUGGUGUCAUGGGGAAUCAGGACUGUUACUUUGAAAAAAUUAGAGUGUUUAAAGCAGGCUCACGCUUGAAUACAUUAGCAUGGAAUAAUGAAAUAGGACGUUUGAUUCUAUUUUGUUGGUUUCUAGGAUCGACGUAAUGAUUAAUAGGGAUAGUUGGGGGCAUUAGUAUUCAAUUGUCAGAGGUGAAAUUCUUGGAUUUAUUGAAGACUAACUACUGCGAAAGCAUUUGCCAAGGAUGUUUUCAUUAAUCAAGAACGAAAGUUAGGGGAUCGAAGACGAUCAGAUACCGUCGUAGUCUUAACCAUAAACUAUGCCGACUAGGGAUCGGAUGAUGUAAUUUUUAAUGA